RNAcentral lists this ribosomal RNA (506 nucleotides) under uncultured bacterium. Its description in RNAcentral is "partial 16S ribosomal RNA". It matches the Rfam family "Bacterial small subunit ribosomal RNA", at positions 30 to 523 of the family's 1533-position model. The record is from RNAcentral.
AUUGAACGCUGGCGGCAGGCUUAACACAUGCAAGUCGAGCGGUAACAGAGAGAAGCUUGCUUCUCUGCUGACGAGCGGCGGACGGGUGAGUAAUGCCUAGGAAUCUGCCUAGUAGUGGGGGAUAACUUGCCGAAAGGUAAGCUAAUACCGCAUACGUCCUACGGGAGAAAGGAGGGGACCUUCGGGCCUUUCGCUAUUAGAUGAGCCUAGGUCGGAUUAGUUAAUUGGUGAGGUAAUGGCUCACCAAGACCGCGAUCCGUAACUGGUCUGAGAGGAUGAUCAGUCACACUGGAACUGAGACACGGUCCAGACUCCUACGGGAGGCAGCAGUGGGGAAUAUUGGACAAUGGGGGGAACCCUGAUCCAGCCAUGCCGCGUGUGUGAAGAAGGUCUUAGGAUUGUAAAGCACCUUAAGUUGGGAGGGAGAGCAGUUAACUAAUAUUUGACUGUUUUGACGUUACCGACAGAAUAAGCACCGGCUAACUUCGUGCCAGCCGCCGCGGUAA